UAAUUAUGUGAUGAACUUUACUGCCCCAGUCUGAGAACUGUGACUGAAUCAGUUUUCUGAGAAUUG
This is a small nucleolar RNA of Formica exsecta, 66 nucleotides long. Lineage: Eukaryota; Metazoa; Arthropoda; Insecta; Hymenoptera; Formicidae. The record is from RefSeq and is a predicted model, not a curated record.